ACGGGCAAGACCCACCAUUGAGGUCCAUAACAUCAUAACCAGUCAACUGCGAAGAGUCAUUAGAAAGUUAUAGUUUAUCCUAUAACAAAGGAAACGGAGAAAACAAAACUAAACACCCAAACCCAGGUGUAUCAUAAAUAUACCAGUUGGGAACAUAAUACUCCCAAACGCACUAUGUCCGAUAAACAUCAAGCUCGCUCAUCUGCUCCCAUGGUAUGUAUGGGCUACCUGGCUCUACGGGUAACGGGGAAUAGGGUCGAUUCCGGAAAGAGCCUGAAAACGGCUACUACAUCUACGGAAGGCAGCAGGCGCGUAAAUACCCAAUCCUGACUCAGGGAGGUAGUGACAAGAUAUAACGACGCGAUUAAAAGUCGCGAUUGUAGUGAGGGGUAUUUCCAAACCGAACCAUUUAGUACGAUUGGGAGGGGCAAGUCUGGGUGCCAGCAGCCGCGGUAAUUUCCAGCUCCAAUAGCGUAUAUUUAAAAGUUUGUUUGCAGUUA
RNAcentral lists this ribosomal RNA (500 nucleotides) under uncultured eukaryote. RNAcentral's name for it is "SSU rRNA". It matches the Rfam family "Eukaryotic small subunit ribosomal RNA", at positions 160 to 621 of the family's 1831-position model. The record is from RNAcentral.